AACGCACCUUGCGCUCCUUGGCAUUCCGAGGAUGCACGCCUGUUUGAGUGUCAUAAAAAUUCUCAAAUCCACUUCCUGGAGAACUGGGUUUGGAUCAGUGGAGGCAUUAUGAGGGUUGCUUCGCAGUUGAAGAAGCCCCCCACUCCUCCAAAAUGCAAUGAAUAAGUGAGGGCUGUGAUUGUUGCAUGUCUGUCGCUGCUGGCAUGGUUAAAAUACUCUUACCUUAUGCCGGCGACACAAAGGGACUGCCUUUCCACCCUUGGAUCUCAUUUGGUGACAAUUUUGACCUCAAAUCAGGCGGGACUACCCGCUGAACUUAA
This 320-nucleotide unclassified non-coding RNA is filed under the name uncultured fungus. RNAcentral's name for it is "partial contains 5.8S ribosomal RNA, internal transcribed spacer 2, and large subunit ribosomal RNA". The record is from RNAcentral. Lineage: Eukaryota; Fungi.